Molecule: long non-coding RNA, 150 nt
Organism: Lampris incognitus (smalleye Pacific opah)
Lineage: Eukaryota; Metazoa; Chordata; Actinopteri; Lampriformes; Lampridae
Exons: 3
Source: RefSeq, a predicted model, not a curated record
CUGGGAAGGAGGUGCAGCAGACGUCACAUGUGAUGAAAACAGCUCAACACCACCUGGCAGUGAACCACCGCCUCCAACACCAUCAACAAGCACUGGAACCAGAAGGGAACAGGAAGUACAUGGAGAGAUGGGACGACAAGUUCCUCCAGC